UCAGAGCUGUGGACGCUGGCCCUCACUAGGUCUGACACAUCCUUCCAUGAUGCCAGUUGUCAAGGAAAUGACCUCCUUCAGGACCCUCCUGUGGUACUGCUGGACUGUCGUUAUCGGAGAGGAGGUGACCCCUGUGAAAGGAUCAGUUGACCCCUUUGAGGGGGUCACACGACCCACAGUUUGAGAACCACUGCUCUACCAGGAUCAGUCCUUCCUCCAGCCUCUGGCUGACUCUCAGCUCUCUACGCAUCACCCAGUCAUAGAGCACACAUCUCCUACCGCACAGCCUCAGUCUGGGGAGUGAAGGAGCCAAUCCUGGCUUUCGUGGGAUUCUCGGGGCAGCGGAAGACUGAGACAACUGAACCCACAGUCACAGUGCAGAGAUGUGCUAUCAGAAGGGCUUUGCUGAGAGGAGAAGGUGGCUGUGACAGAACGGCAGCCCUGUAAGGAUGCUGUGAGAGACCCUCCCGGAGGCUCCACUGCGUUGUGGGACACGGAAGUUUCCAUGGGAAGUACCGAUCUCGCCCUGCCCACUUGGUUUCACGCUGCAUACUGUGCUGAGGACGGAGCUGGCAUUUCAGCGUGAACACUAAGUGGUGACUCAGAACCAACAGAAGUGUGGACCGCUGUUUACUCAAAAGGAAGCCUCUGGUGUGACAAACGAGAGUGGGCUGCAACAUUGUGCAGGACUCAUGAGCCAAGCGGCUUGGAAAUAGCACAUACCACCGCGGCAGGUGAUUCAUCUCUCGUUCGAUCUUCUCAGGCAGGGCAUCAGACGCCAGCCCAGGCAGACCCAGAGCCGGCCGGGGGGAUGCUCGGUGCCUAAGUACUGUGGACAUCCUUAGUUUCCUAUGACACUGCCACUGACUUUGACGGUUCUGUGCGAGCGUAACACUUUCAGUCUAAUUAACCAUGUUGAACCAACCCGACCACCCCCCCCCGUGCCCCCCACACAGAGUGAAAAUUGUAAAGUUCAAAGGUCACACGUGAAUUUUCAGCUCACCAGAAGGUCCCUUAAUCUUUUUCUUGGAAUAUUUAAGGAAGAAAAAAAUAUAUUGAAAUCGAUCCGGUAGAAGGGAGCAAAGGGGUACGGGUAAUAAGGUAGUGUCUCAGGCCUCGAGCUAGCUCAGCUUCAGAGAUGGCCCAAACUUCCUCUGUAGGCCAGAGGCGACAGAGAUACUCAGUACAAAGAUCAGGAUUUGAAGCCUGUCCCUGGCACAGAUGGCAGGGGCAGCUCUGACUGGAUCCAAAUCUUUCCUAGUUAAUGCUUCCGGUCCCCCAAGUAGAGGCCAUAGUACUGCCCACCCCCCGCAGAGGCUGUGAAGCUCACAGCAUGGGCAUGAAACAGUGCUACUGUGGGUUGCACAGUAGGUACCCAACAAAUGACAGCCGAUUCUAUGAGGAUCAGGAAUCCAGCAAUGCUGGAUGUUGGGAAAGGCACUCAGCAUGACACUGCAAGGGACAUCUGAAGCUGCACUUGAAGGUGUCAGGGGCUUUUCCACCUCCACAUUGUUCUGUGGUUCUCAGACCUGUGAGGAACAGCCCUGUCUGCAGAGGAGAAAACUGAUGGAAUGAGGCUUGAGAACAUUUAGACACAGGUCUGCUUCCACACUCAUUGAGGUUGCUUCCUGCUGGGUAACAAAGUGCUUCCCCUCAGAAGAACCAGAGGUCGGUCUGCCGUCUGGAACUGGCUCGGAGGGCUCUCAGGAGACUGAUAUGUCUUCAACCCCAUCAUCCUCUCUACCAAGGGUUAUUCAGCAGUUACUAGUUGCAAUGGAUUCAUUCCUCCUUCCUCUUCCUCCCUCCCUUCUUUCCAACCUUCUUCCCUUCCUCCCUCCUUUCCUGUUUGGGGAAGAAGCACAGAAGAAGAAAGCCCAAAUGAAGGCUUACAGCAAUCACUGAUGGAGGAGAGAAAGCUUUCUAACCUGUCCUUCACUAUUUCUGACUAUUGUGUAAUAGGAGCUUUGUCUAACAUCCCUCAAAGGACUAUCAGGAAAUGGCACGCUGUGGCUAAUGUGUGUGCAGGGGAACCCUGGAGAAGGCUUCGAAGAAGGGAGUGCUUAGAAGAGGUAUCUUGACUACCCCGGACUCACCGGACACCAGGAGAUUGACAAAUGCGUCCUCAAGAACUGCGCAUACUAGGACAGAACACUGGAUGGGUACUGAAUGUACCCAGUGAAGUUAUAAGACUGGCUCGCUAAGCUGGAUAAGAGACGCAAAUAUUGAAUUAAUAGUCUAGGCAUACAUGCACAUGCUCACGCACAUGCACACACUCAUAAGUAGCAGUAGUAUCCUUCUGUCCCACCAGUGAGACCUCAUACAAUGCUACGGGGUAGCUGUCCGAGACCAUGAGUCCCUGAACAGAGAGGCCUAGGGCCAGCCACACCCAGCUUCCCUGGGAAGCCGUUUCCAUCUUAAGCUCCAACCCUUCAGCAUGACAUAACCUUUCUAUGGUGAAGAAAAAAAAAAAAGGCGAGCCUCAAGGGAAGUCCCUUGGCUUUCUGCAUGAGACUAAAUAAAGUCUGUGCUGGAAAACAUGAAGUAUCAUAAAGUGUCUCACAGUGCUAAAACUUUUCCCUCUGCCAUCUUUUGGGGGGAGUUGUUAAAAUGUCCUCCAGUUUCCAAGGAGGCAGGGUCUAGUGGCCCCAUUUACUGGACCAGAUAUUGCGCUCCCAGGGCUCUGAGUUGCCGAGGGCAAAGGGUUAGUCAGCUUCACCUUGCAGAGUUUUAGUAACGCGUUGGCAGCUGAUGCAGCUAUUUUACACACAUGGGGAGCCCAGAGUAUCCUCUGAGAGUGGAUUCGGGCAGCAGCUUAGUCCUCAUUCCCAAGCUGUUGAGACAUCCCAGUUUCCCUGGCUGAGGCAUAAAGCCUGAAGUGUGUGCACUCCUCAUUCUGGUUUAUUGGCCCCGGGGAGCCCCAUAUGCGCGGGUUCAGAACCCACCUCAGCGCCAUCAGCUUCCUGGGAAGUUAUUACCACUUACUUAUAUCAGGCUGCUUCCAAGAGUUCUCUCCCUGGAGAAAUGGAUCAGAUCACCCCUUUCUCCUUCUGAAACAUACUUCUUAGUUUUACAUCUCCUGUAUGCAACCUUUUCCUUCUUUCCCAUAAUUUAAAAUCCAUCCUGCCUCCCAGCGCCCUCCCCCGCCCCCGCAAACCCACCCGGGCUUGAGAACCACAAUUCACAGUAACAAUGACACAUCAUCUGAAGGCAACCAAUUGGCGUGGGCUUAGUGUCCCAGAGAACCCUGGGAACUCUUUCUCCAUACCGGCAUUGACCAAUAAUACCAUGUUUACCAUGAGUCAGGUGGCAGCGCUCUACAAACACAUCUCAUCCGAGUUUCAAAAUUGAAUUUUUGUAAGGCGCCUAAGUCAGAGUAUUGCCUAAGACCAAGAAACAUCAAGUAGGUUGUUCGCGGUCACUGCGCUAACAAUCAGCGGAUCUGGGGCUAUGACACCGGACCGCUCCCAGGGCUGGGAGGUGGGGCAGCCGCCACUGUUACAGGUCUAUCUACAAACCAGAAAGGCAAAAUGUGAUUUAUAUUCCCUAAGCUUGCAUCAUCCACCUUUGGGAAAGGAAGCAGACUCAAAAUGCUUGAGAAAGAGAUUCAUCUGGAUGGUGUUCAUGCUCAGAGAGUCAGACACAGCUGGGAGGAGAGUGUGCGGAUGCAUCAGGAACGCUCAAAGGAAAAAGAAAACCAGGUUUCUGAAGGGAUUGAACUGACUUUCUGUGCCAAGGGAGAAAGUCCUGACUGUGAGCCAGGAUAGGAGAAAAGGUGUGGAGGGUCAGUCCAGUCUUCCAGUGUUUGAAGAUCAACAAGAGGAAAGGCUCGUUUUCCCAUCAAAUGGACUCCUCAUUAAACUGUGUGAGACAUUUACAAUUACGCAAUGUAAAUAAUAUUACCUUUGAAUAUUAAGAUGCAGAAAUCUGAAGCAAUCAAAUAUAUUCUAAACCCUCUGAAAUAAUUAACAUCAGCUCUGUAGGAGAGACAUCUCUAAAAAUA
Molecule: non-coding RNA, 4000 nt
Organism: Rattus norvegicus (Norway rat)
Lineage: Eukaryota; Metazoa; Chordata; Mammalia; Rodentia; Muridae
Source: RefSeq, a predicted model, not a curated record